This 155-nucleotide ribosomal RNA is filed under the name uncultured bacterium. Its description in RNAcentral is "partial 16S ribosomal RNA". It matches the Rfam family "Bacterial small subunit ribosomal RNA", at positions 355 to 507 of the family's 1533-position model. The record is from RNAcentral.
UGAGGAAUAUUGGACAAUGGGCGCAAGCCUGAUCCAGCCAUGCCGCGUGCAGGAUGACGGUCCUAUGGAUUGUAAACUGCUUUUAUACAGGAAGAAACCCCUCUACGUGUAGAGACUUGACGGUACUGUAAGAAGAAGGAUCGGCUAACUCCGUG